ACCUGCGGAGGAUCAUU
RNAcentral lists this ribosomal RNA (17 nucleotides) under Naganishia friedmannii. RNAcentral describes it as "partial 18S ribosomal RNA". Lineage: Eukaryota; Fungi; Basidiomycota; Tremellomycetes; Filobasidiales; Filobasidiaceae. The record is from RNAcentral. RNAcentral also lists the same sequence under 7 other names.